UGGGGAAUAUUGGACAAUGGGCGCAAGCCUGAUCCAGCCAUGCCGCGUGAGUGAUGAAGGCCUUAGGGUUGUAAAGCUCUUUUAGCGGGGAAGAUAAUGACGGUACCCGCAGAAAAAGCCCCGGCUAACUUCGUGCCGGCAGCCGCGGUAAUACGAAGGGGGCUAGCGUUGCUCGGAAUUACUGGGCGUAAAGCGCACGUAGGCGGACUCUUAAGUCGGUGGUGAAAUCCUGGAGCUCAACUCCAGAACUGCCUUCGAUACUGGGAGUCUUGAGUUCGGGAGAGGUGAGUGGAACUGCGAGUGUAGAGGUGAAAUUCGUAGAUAUUCGCAAGAACACCAGUGGCGAAGGCGGCUCACUGGCCCGAUACUGACGCUGAGGUGCGAAAGCGUGGGGAGCAAACA
RNAcentral lists this ribosomal RNA (402 nucleotides) under uncultured bacterium. RNAcentral's name for it is "bacterial SSU rRNA". It matches the Rfam family "Bacterial small subunit ribosomal RNA", at positions 355 to 774 of the family's 1533-position model. The record is from RNAcentral.